UCAGAAUUUGCAUUCUGACAAGAUCCCUGGUUGGUUCACAUUAAGGUUUGAGAAGCAUUGAUAUAUACAUGCCAUAUUUAGUUCUAUAGCCUACUUUGUCACUUACAAAAACUAGAAAGUUUUCAUUUUCUCUCUGUUCCGCAUUCAUUAACAAUCGUUAACAAUGCCAUGGAAAUAGUACUUUGUAGAAUUGGGAAAGCAUUUAGUCAUUACAAAAGAGUGAAAUAGAUACUGAUUUGUGAAUUGGCAAGGAGAUCUCUAAAAAUCUUCAAAUUUUUUUUUUUAAAGAGUCUUACUAUUCUAAAGUUUCAUAAUGAAACAUUGAUUACUGGAGUUCAAAUUGUUUCUGAAAUGUGGUUCUUUUAUUAUCUCAGAAUGUGAGACAAUAUUAUUUAUUUAUUUUUAUUAUUUUUAUUUUUUUAAAGAUUUUAUUUGACAGAGAGAAAUACAGCGAGAGAGGGAACACAAGCAGAGGGAGUGGGAGAGGGAAAAGCAGGCUUCCUGCCGAGCAGGGAGCCCAAUGCGGGGCUCAAUACCAGGACCCCGGGACCAUGACCUGAGCCGAAGGCAGACGCUCAACGACUGAGCCACCCAGGUGCCCCGACAAUACUUAGUUAAAAACCCCUUGAGGGAAAAAGGGCAGGAAGUCGUUAAAGAAAGCACAGUUGGCAACACAUCUGCGGCUGAAUCAGGACUUGUCAGCCUUGAGCACUCUGCUAACGAAUAGUGAGGGGGUGGGGAGAAAGGUGGAGCCUGAAUGUGAAUAAACUGAUUCAGAGGAGAAAACAAAGGCUGUGACUCUUGGACACCCUGGUAUAUUUAUAACUCUAGUCAGUACUUUGCUCUUUAAUUAGGGAGGGCAAAUCUUUAUAACCUUGCUAGAUGAAGAUAAGAGAAGACAAUAAGUGCAGUUUACUUUGGAAAAGAAAUCACAAUCGGUUCUUAGGCACUUGAGCUGCCAAUAUUUAGCAACAAAAUGGUAGACUUGGUCAGCUUCAAGGCGUGGAAUCAACUUUAAAUUCAAAUUCAGAUUCUAAGUGUAAGAGAGAAUGGAUACUUUUGGGGAGCCUGCAGCCUUCACAAAAUUGGGUUCUUGUUUGAUACAGGAAGGGAGUUGGGCAACAUCACUUGGCACUUGGCAGGGAAGCAAAGGUAGGCAAUGAAGAGGGAAAGUGACCAAGAUGACCUUAACAUUAUCCUCAGCUUGACCAAACUAGACAGGUUUCUUUCUGACUGCUUCUGACCCUCCCUUUUCUUGGAGCAUUUUCUUUAGAAACUUGCAAUUGGAAAUUCGUUCUUUGCCUUUUUGACAUGUAAAUCUUUCAACUUCUGUCUGUUUUGCAUCUGAGGAAUGUCCUCAAGGACCUGGGAGCCACCUCUUGGAAAUGUAAUCAAGAAAGACAGGGUCCCUAACUUCCAGUCUCUGGGAGAGGGAAUGUCUUGAAGACAGAAUUAGAAACCAGAAGACCUCGUCACAGAAUUCCUUUUUGGAGACAGUCACAUUCUAUUUAUUUCUUGGAAGCAUUCGGAGUGCAGCAUUGCAAGGAGUUUCUUCAUGGGGGCGAGAUAUGCUUCGGUAUGGUUCAGUCCUGACUGUUCGGACCCAAAAUGCUACAUAAUGGCUCAGUGCCACCUUACUGAGCCCAAGAGAUUUCUGAGUCUUUCCUUCAGGCAAUGCCCUGAAUCUUAAGAGACUUACUCUGGACCUCAGGAUAUCGCAUCACGAGCAGAAGUGCCCAGCACAGUGUGGAGGCCACGGUUUCUGUACCAGCCGCAAACCGCAAAAGAGAGAAUGAGAGACAGCAUGAGAGGGAGGAGGGUCAGAGGGAGAAGCAGACUCCCUGCCGAGCAGGGAGCCCGAUGCGGGACUCGAUCCCAGGACUCCAGGAUCAUGACCUGAGCCGAAGGCAGUGGCUUAACCAACUGAGCCACCCAGGCGCCCCUGGAAAUUAGUUUUUAACUGAGUGAUUAGAAUAUGCCCACCAUGGGGAUGCGGAGAAAGGGAACCCUCCUACACUGUUGGUGGAAAUGGAAGCUGGUGCAGCCACUCUGGAAAACAGUAUGGAGGUUCCUCAAAAAGUUGAAAAUAGAGCUACCAUACGAUCCAGCCAUUGCACUACUGGGUAUUUACCCCAAAGAUACAAAAGUAGGGAUCUGAAAGGGUACGUGCACCCCGAUGUGUAUAGCAGCAAUGUCCACAAUAGCCAAACUGUGGAAAGAGCCAAGAUGUCCGUCGACAGAUGAAUGGAUAAAGAAGAAGUGGUAUAUAUAUACAAUGGAAUAUUAUGCAGCCAUCAAAAGGAAUGAGAUCUUGCCAUUUGCAAUGACAUGGAUGGAACUGGAAGGUGUUAUGCUGAAUGAAAUAAGUCAAUCAGAGAAAGACAUGUAUCAUAUGACCUCACUGAUAUGAGGAAUUCUUAAUCUCAGGAAACAAACU
Mirounga angustirostris (Northern elephant seal) is the source of this 2437-nucleotide long non-coding RNA. RefSeq lists it as uncharacterized. NCBI's taxonomy places the organism in Eukaryota, Metazoa, Chordata, Mammalia, Carnivora, Phocidae. The transcript is spliced from 4 exons. The record is from RefSeq and is a predicted model, not a curated record.